This 330-nucleotide unclassified non-coding RNA is filed under the name Hevea brasiliensis (rubber tree). Lineage: Eukaryota; Viridiplantae; Streptophyta; Magnoliopsida; Malpighiales; Euphorbiaceae. The record is from RNAcentral.
AGAAAAGAAGAGAUCCCAAUUUUAAAAACUUCUUUUUUUUUUUGGACAAAUAAUAAAAUAGUCCUUGUAGUUUGCCCUAAUUAAUGACUAGAGCCCUAAAUUUUGAAAAUCAAAAUAAUUAAUCUCUCAAAAUUUAUUUUGUUGACAAUUAAGUCCGUCAUUCCAAUUUUUCCAGUAUAUUCCGCUACAUAAGCUAGAUAAACCAGAGAGACUACCUUUUUAUUCCCUAAACCCUCAUCUCUAUCCUUAACACCCCCCAACCCACUCCUCCCAAUUUGUCACUGCCAUACACCCGUCCUCCUCUCUCCCCUCUCCUCCCCUUCCUUUGCA